This 313-nucleotide ribosomal RNA is filed under the name Ixodes ricinus (castor bean tick). RNAcentral describes it as "partial large subunit ribosomal RNA". Lineage: Eukaryota; Metazoa; Arthropoda; Arachnida; Ixodida; Ixodidae. The record is from RNAcentral.
AAAAGCUUUCUUUAAUUGAAUAAUUGAAUUUAAUUNANNANNGCAAAAGCAAAAAUAAAAAUUAGGGACAAGAAGACCCUAUGAAUUUUUUAUUAAAUUUUAUAAAACUUUAUAUAAAAUUUAAUUUAAUUGGGGUGAUGGAAAAAGAAUAAAUAUCUUUUUUUUAAAAAAAAUUGGUUCCGUUUUUAGCGAUUAAAUGAAAAAAAUACUCUAGGGAUAACAGCGUAAUAAUUUUGGAUAGUUCAUAUAGAUAAAAUAGUUUGCGACCUCGAUGUUGGAUUAGGAUUCUUUUUUGGUGAAGAAGUUAAAAAAA